ACUGUAAAACAUUAUAGCCUCAUUAAGUUAUGUGUACUAACAUUUGCUAUUUAGUUCUACUACACACAGCAAGUUUUAGAUAUUCAACCCAAGUCUGUAAGUUUUCACAAAGUUAAACUUAAAGUUACAUAUUGUCUUAACUACUUGUGAGUUGUCUCUGUGAUGUGAAUGUUCAUUUAACUAACUUCUGUAAGUUAUGAAUCACAACGAGAGGGAGGGGUCGUGUCCAGAAAAGACCGGGAAAAUUUCAGUUAACUUUACCUCAGACACAGCGCUCAUCUGAAAUGACCAAUAAUACAUUUUUUUUGCAAGGCUGCAAAGGAGGUAUGUAUGAUUUUUUUUGUCUUGAUGUAAUAAAGAUGCCCUUUAUACAUUUUUAGAUAAAAAUAUUGAGUUUAAAGUAAAGAAAAUAUGCAGACAUCGAGCCUGCUUUGCGAAUGCGUCGUCGUCAGGAUAUUUAUCUGCUUUCACAUCGAAGCAUCAAAUGUUAAAAGAGUUUAAUACACCAUGGGGACAAUUUUGGAUAUUUCAAUUGGUUGUGCGUAACGUUAUAUCGAUUAUUUUGAUUAUAAAUAUAGCUUACAGUUUAACAUUUAAGCUUAACAGAUUUGUUUGUUCACUGUCAAUGUGAAUUAAUCACGGGCUGAGUCUUAAGCGUUUAAGAAACGGGUAAUGUAUUAUUGUGAUGCUUGAAAGAUUUUUAUCCUCGUGCGAUUAAGGGCACGAGGGGAAUAUGCGUUGAAAUGAACGCAAAUAGUGUCUAAUAAGUGUUCGAGGAUCUGUUCGUCUGACAUAAAGGCCAUAAAAAACCUUUAAAUAGAUUUAUAUCUCUCAGUCACUUAACAAGUGGACACAAUAUCUGUUCGUUUCCACAGAAUUAUGUGUUUAAGUCUAGCAGGGCAGCCAUUUCAGGCUACUGCGCACGCGCAUAGGUUUGCAACCUCUCGCCAGAGAAUCCCCUUUACAUGUUGUUGAUGGACGCACGUGUUUGCUGAACAUACAGGACACCAUAUGAUUAAAAACUGCCUCCCUAUCUUGUCAUAAAUAACAGGUAUUUGCAUGAUUUUUACCAUUUUAUAAUCUGUAUGUCGUAUUUUUGGUAUUUUGUACAAGAGUACUAAGUAUUUUGAUCAUAGCGAUUACAGUGGUGUAAGUUACCGGAUCGCAGACGACCAUAGACUGUAAAAAAUAGAUCACGACCCACGGUUCGGCUCCCAUGCGAUUCGCGGAUUAAUAUCUAUACAAAGUUUGUCAUUUGCAUGUUUAUUAAAGUCUUGCAAAUGUUAACACUCAAGUGAUUUUUAAACAAUUUAACCACAAAAGUCUGUUUUUACUUUUUACAGUCUCGUUUUGUCACUCUGCAUCUUGUGGCUGAUAAGCUAUUGAAGAAGAGCUGUCCAUCACUUUAUGGACAUUCAAGUUAACAUAAGGUAUUGUAAACGCAAUUUUACCUAAUACUAUCAACUUAAUACAUUUACUGUAAACUGUGCAGUUCUUUACUCAUACAAUUUCAUGUUUUUUUUUCCUAAUCUGCUUUUAUUACUUUGUCUUGUUUUGUUACUCUGCAUCUUUGUGGCCGCCCAUCACUUUGACGACGUUCAAGUUAACAUAAGUCCGCUUGCUAUUGAAGAAGAGCUGCCCAUCACUUUGACGACGUUCAAGUUAACAUAAGGUAUUGUAAAAACAAUGUUGGCCUAAUACUAUCAACUUAAUACAUUUACUGUAAACUGUGCAGUUCUUUACUCAUACAAUUUCAUGUUUUUUUUUUCCUAAUCUGCUUUUAUUACUUUGUCUUGUUUUGUUACUCUGCAUCUUUGUGGCCGCCCAUCACUUUGACGACGUUCAAGUUAACAUAAGUCCGCUUGCUAUUGAAGAAGAGCUGCCCAUCACUUUGACGACGUUCAAGUUAACAUAAGGUAUUGUAAAAACAAUGUUGGCCUAAUACUAUCAACUUAAUACAUUUACUGUAAACUGUGCAGUUCUUUACUCAUACAAUUUCAUGUUUUUUUUUUCCUAAUCUGCUUUUAUUACUUUGUCUUGUUUUGUUACUCUGCAUCUUUGUGGCCGCCCAUCACUUUGACGACGUUCAAGUUAACAUAAGUCCGCUUGCUAUUGAAGAAGAGCUGCCCAUCACUUUGACGACGUUCAAGUUAACAUAAGUCCGCUUUUACUACUUUGUCUCGUUUGGUCACUCUGCAUCUGUGUGGCUGCAUAGAAGAAGAGCUGCUCAUCACUUUGACGACAUUCAAGUUAACAUAAGCAGUUGGUGCAUUAAGAUACCUCUCAGAGUUAUUGUGUCAUCUCAAGAAAUAAGGUGUGUCACCCUAGAGAGUUUUCCUGAGUCAGUCAAGGAGCUAUGUGUGACAUGGUGCAUCAUUCUGGGCUUGCAAGGAAACUUUCUUCUACACUUUGAGGAUCCAGACUUUGGAAAUGAGCACUGCAAUUUCACCGAUAUUAAAGAUCUACCAUCAGAUCGAGUGACACUGAAAGUUUUGUUGACAGCUUCUGGUUCGGUUUCUGACUUUGCAUUACAAUUACUACUAGUGCCUCGUCAGUGGAAUGGCCUGAUCCUUUUGUUAUUCCUGAUUUCUCUCAUGAUGUUGAACUUCAGUUGAGCGCUGCAAAUUAUGCCUAUGCCAGGGAUGGAACAGUAAUGGUCAUUUCCAAUGGUGUUAAAUACAAGACAAACCAGCUGAUGUGAAAUGUUGACUGUUUCCAAGGUCCAUCGGUUUAUUUUGUAAAAGACUUUCUUAGCGACUGGGUAUUAACAAAAAAGGUUUGGUGAUAGUUAUAUUGCAUUAAUUGUUCUUUAAAAAAAACUAACUCUAAAAUACGUGGCUUUUAAAAUAAUAAUAAUAAUACUAAUAAUUUGAAAAUUAACAGUGCAAAACUAUUUUUAUCAUAUUUGAGUUUUUAUCAGUAAAAGAAACAUUACACAUACCUGUAUCUAUUAUUACAACUAUGGUGUUGAUUUCACAGUUUAAAAACAUUAAAGAAACCCAUAUAAUAUUUAAAUGAAAUUUGUUUUUAAUAAACAUUUGUAAUAUUCAUUUUUAACAAAAAUGCUUUUCCAAGCCAAUGUUACAAAUUGUUCUUGUGCAAAUAAAUAGUUUUUGAGCUAAUAAUUUGCAA
This is a non-coding RNA of Misgurnus anguillicaudatus (oriental weatherfish), 3132 nucleotides long. Lineage: Eukaryota; Metazoa; Chordata; Actinopteri; Cypriniformes; Cobitidae. The record is from RefSeq and is a predicted model, not a curated record.